UCUGAUCCAGGGACGAAAAAGUUAGAGGGAAUUCUCUGAAGAGCUUGAAUGCUUGGUGUGGGUCCAGCCCAGCUGUUGUCCCGAGAGCUGUUCAGUGGCCGCCCAGGCCCUUGUUUGGUUAGCAAGUGUCAAUGUGUGUAAAUAAACUCAAGUUUGCCAGAAUCUGAGCAACUGGACCUGUCCAGUCUUUCAACGUGUCGCCACGAUCAUUCGAACCAUCGAGAUCACCUCCAUCGACUCAAUCUUAACUGCCUGAUUACGUAACCAUACCACGUCAUCACGAAGACACAAAUUGCCAGAUCUGUGACAUCAUGCGACGUCAUGUCACAUGACGACGUCAUCACAUGACAUGCUACUUUGUCAAAGGUGGGCCGAUCACGGAUACAGUGCAAAAACCACGACGUCAGCACCGACGAGUACUCCUGAUGCUUCAAGAGUCGGGGAUCUCGGCACAUAAAAUGAAAAAAGCGUUUCCGCCUUGCCCACAAUGCACUGUUGCAGCUUCAUUCGACGUUCAUUUCAGCUCUUAUAUGAACAUAUUUCUCGUCGGUUGUUGCUUGUCACUGUUCACUUUCUGCGUCGAGUUAACUUUUAAGCGCUGGCCACGCUUUAUCCCUGAGUACUUGGCUUUCGUUAGGCCAUGAAUACCUGGAAAAUGAGCGCUGAAGCGCUUCUCGCGAAUGCUAAUCAGCGGUAAUUCCAAUCGACACUAUGUUUAAGAAAAAUUGCGCCCACGUGUUUUGCUGCUCACAAGGGCUCACGAAAACAGGUGAAAGGAGCGUAGUGAAAGUAAUUUCUUCAGCUCCGUACAAACUGCGCGUACUGUGCAAGAAAGCAAAUGAUGAGCAAGUGUCGCAGAAAAAGUGCGAGGUAAAGCAUAAGUAUAAAUAUGUAGAACGCUCUACUGGAGUAGUUUAUGAAAUACCUCUUACGUGUGGUAGGACAUACGUCGGCCAAACCGGCGAAUGCCUUAACAAAAGGCAAAUUUGUUAGGUAAGCUGAUGAUUUCUGGCACUUUAGCAGCACACUGCUCUAACUGUGUGUGCACACCAUGUUUUAAGAAGACAAAGAAGCUAGCACACACCGGCGAAUGCCCUAACAAAAGGCAAAUUUGGUAGGUAAGCUGAUGAUUUCUGGCACUUUAGCAGCACACUGCUCUAACUGUGUGUGCACACCAUGUUUUAAGAAGACAAAGUAGCUAGCACACACCGGCGAAUGCCUUAACAAAAGGCAAAUUUGGUAGGUAAGCUGAUGAUUUCUGGCACUUUAGCAGCACACUGCUCUACCUGUGUGUGCACACCAUGUUUUAAGAAGACAAAGAAGCUAGCACACACCGGCGAAUGCCUUAACAAAAGUCAAAUUGGGUAGGUAAGCUGAUGAUUUCUGGCACUUUAGCAGCACACUGCUCUAACUGUGUGUGCACACCAUGUUUUAAGAAGACAAAGUAGCUAGCACACACCGGCGAAUGCCUUAACAAAAGGCAAAUUUGGUAGGUAAGCUGAUGAUUUCUGGCACUUUAGCAGCACACUGCUCUAACUGUGUGUGCACACCAUGUUUUAAGAAGACAAAGUAGCUAGCACACACCGGCGAAUGCCUUAACAAAAGGCAAAUUUGGUAGGUAAGCUGAUGAUUUCUGGCACUUUAGCAGCACACUGCUCUAACUGUGUGUGCACACCGUGUUUUAAGAAGACAAAGAAGCUAGCACACACCGGCGAAUGCCUUAACAAAAGGCAAAUUUGGUAGGUAAGCUGAUGAUUUCUGGCACUUUAGCAGCACACUGCUCUAACUGUGUGUGCACACCAUGUUUUAAGAAGACAAAGAAGCUAGCACACACCGGCGAAUGCCCUAACAAAAGGCAAAUUUGGUAGGUAAGCUGAUGAUUUCUGGCACUUUAGCAGCACACUGCUCUAACUGUGUGUGCACACCAUGUUUUAAGAAGACAAAGUAGCUAGCACACACCGGCGAAUGCCUUAACAAAAGGCAAAUUUGGUAGGUAAGCUGAUGAUUUCUGGCACUUUAGCAGCACACUGCUCUACCUGUGUGUGCACACCAUGUUUUAAGAAGACAAAGAAGCUAGCACACACCGGCGAAUGCCUUAACAAAAGUCAA
Long non-coding RNA from Rhipicephalus sanguineus (brown dog tick), 2109 nucleotides. RefSeq lists it as uncharacterized. NCBI's taxonomy places the organism in Eukaryota, Metazoa, Arthropoda, Arachnida, Ixodida, Ixodidae. The transcript is spliced from 6 exons. The record is from RefSeq and is a predicted model, not a curated record.